UCCUCGAUUCAACACUCGAUGC
This 22-nucleotide non-coding RNA is filed under the name Arabidopsis thaliana (thale cress). The record is from RNAcentral. Lineage: Eukaryota; Viridiplantae; Streptophyta; Magnoliopsida; Brassicales; Brassicaceae.